Molecule: ribosomal RNA, 333 nt
Filed under: uncultured bacterium
Lineage: Bacteria
Description: bacterial SSU rRNA
Rfam family: Bacterial small subunit ribosomal RNA
Source: RNAcentral
UGCGUAGGCGGCUCAGAAAGUAGGGUGUGAAAGCCCUCGGCUCAACCGAGGAAUUGCGCCCUAAACUACUGGGCUCGAGGAACGCAGAGGUAAGCGGAACUUAGGGUGGAGCGGUGAAAUGCGUUGAUAUCCUAAGGAACACCAGGAGCGAAAGCGGCUUACUGGGCGUUUUCUGACGCUGAUGCACGAAAGCUAGGGGAGCGAACGGGAUUAGAUACCCCGGUAGUCCUAGCCGUAAACGAUGAGCACUGGAUUGGACGGCCCCCCCAUAGGCUUCUAGUCGUAGCGAAAGUGUUAAGUGCUCCGCCUGGGGAGUAUGGUCGCAAGGCUGAA